AACGCGAAGAACCUUACCUGGGCUUGACAUGUUCCGGACGGUCGCGGAGACGCGGCUUCCCUUCGGGGCCGGUUCACAGGUGGUGCAUGGUCGUCGUCAGCUCGUGUCGUGAGAUGUUGGGUUAAGUCCCGCAACGAGCGCAACCCUCGCCUUGUGUUGCCAGCGCGUCAUGGCGGGAACUCACAAGGGACCGCCGGGGUUAACUCGGAGGAAGGUGGGGAUGACGUCAGAUCAUCAUGCCCCUUACGUCCAGGGCUUCACGCAUGCUACAAUGGCCGGUACAACGGGAUGCGACACCGCGAGGUGGAGCGGAUCCCUGAAAACCGGUCUCAGUUCGGAUCGCAGUCUGCAACUCGACUGCGUGAAGGCGGAGUCGCUAGUAAUCGCGAAUCAGCAACGUCGCGGUGAAUGCGUUCCCGGGUCUUGUACACACCG
RNAcentral lists this ribosomal RNA (435 nucleotides) under uncultured bacterium. Its description in RNAcentral is "bacterial SSU rRNA". It matches the Rfam family "Bacterial small subunit ribosomal RNA", at positions 958 to 1392 of the family's 1533-position model. The record is from RNAcentral.